This 524-nucleotide ribosomal RNA is filed under the name uncultured bacterium. RNAcentral describes it as "bacterial SSU rRNA". It matches the Rfam family "Bacterial small subunit ribosomal RNA", at positions 9 to 531 of the family's 1533-position model. The record is from RNAcentral.
GAGUUUGAUCCUGGCUCAGGAUGAACGCUAGCGGCAGGCCUAAUACAUGCAAGUCGAACGGUAACAGGUCCUUCGGGAUGCUGACGAGUGGCGCACGGGUGCGUAACGCGUAUGCAACCUACCCAUUACAGGGGGAUAGCCCGGGGAAACUCGGAUUAAUACCCCAUAGUAUUAUUGAAUCGCAUGAGGAGAUAAUUAAAGAUUUAUCGGUAAUGGAUGGGCAUGCGUCUGAUUAGUUAGUUGGUAGUGUAACGGACUACCAAGACGAUGAUCAGUAGGGGGUCUGAGAGGAUGAUCCCCCACACUGGCACUGAGAUACGGGCCAGACUCCUACGGGAGGCAGCAGUAGGGAAUAUUGGUCAAUGGACGAGAGUCUGAACCAGCCAUGCCGCGUGCAGGAUGACGGCCUUCUGGGUUGUAAACUGCUUUUCUACAGGAAGAAAAAAGCCUUGCGAGGUUAAUUGCCGGUACUGUAGGAAUAAGCACCGGCUAACUCCGUGCCAGCAGCCGCGGUAAUACGGAGG